Molecule: long non-coding RNA, 3727 nt
Organism: Cavia porcellus (domestic guinea pig)
Lineage: Eukaryota; Metazoa; Chordata; Mammalia; Rodentia; Caviidae
Exons: 2
Source: RefSeq, a predicted model, not a curated record
UAACCUAGACCUCAGCUCAGUGCAGCUGCCUGCUAUUCAGAAGGCGAUGGCUUGAUCCUGGGCACAAAGUAUGUCUCCCAAGCUGCACUGGUACUGAGGCUGGUCACCUGUGAAACCAUCUCCCACUCCAGCCCUGCAAACUCCCCAGUGUAAGAGAGGCCAGCCCCAAAAUGACACUGCUGCUGCACAGACAGGUCCAGAAAGGCCCCGAGGGCCUGGACCACUGUGGCUGCCACUGAUACCAUGUGGCUUGAGACCGGAGGACAUCAGGCACCUAGGGCAGUGUGGCUGGCUCUGGCCUUGGGUGGUCUGUCCUGGCCUGACCAUGUGCCAGACUCACACUGCUUGGUACAGGGCACAAGGGAUAUUGUCUCCUGGCUUUGCCAACCAGAGAGUGAUGAUAUGGCCACUGCCAAGGUCUGGAGAAGCUGAAAGCUAUGUGCUGGAACCUUUGCUGGACUGAGAGUGAGUAGGAACCCAUCUCAUAGCACAUGUGAACCAGGGUUUGUGAAAACACAUGGUGACACACUCAUCUGCCCCAGAAUCUGGGUUGCAGGGUGGGCACCAAGGGAGAGCAUUGGAAGGGGGUAAACACAACAUUGGGCAUGGCCCACUGUGGCAGCUGGACUGAAGUCCUGGAGGACUAUGGGCAAACCUCGUCACCAUGUGGCUGGCAUGGCUGCGUGCCAGGAGUGCCAGCCCAGACACUGUCACCUCCCAGCUGCUCACCUGUGGUGUUGCCUAAGGAACCUGGCCCCCUCAUAGUCUGUGAUAACAUCAGCCCCGGCAUGGGAACAGAGACUGGGUAGGAAAGCCAACCCAAGAGAAGAAAAUGUUCUUCCCUAUUGUCUCAUGAUGUGUGACUAGGCUGUGUUUACAGAGCUAGAAGGAAGUGGCCGACCUUCAGGUGGCUAGAAAGAACAAACAUAAUUAAAAACAUUCUUGGGAUAAUGGUGUUCCUCCUGGGUUAUUGGGGCAAGAAUAACUGGUUAUGCUUGCUUGCUUAACUUAGAUAGUUCAGAUAACAUUGUAACUUGUCACAAAAUGUGCUAUUGCAAGAUAAUCGUCUGUGCACUGUGAGUUGAUCCGGUUCACUAUAUAAGAACCUAAAAAUAAAGUACAGCAUGCAGUAGCAACUGCUGUUUUCUCUGCUCUGCAUCCCCCGUGUCCUGAUUUCAUGUGUGCCUCUUCCCGGGGUCCCGAGUGCACUAGACACUCGAGACAAGUGGCGCCCGGAACAGGGACCCCGAUGGUCGUUCAGGAGAGAACAUGGCAUUCAACAAUGGGUCCCCGGAUGAUGGAUCAAGAUCCGCGCCUCGAGGUCCCAUCCGCUUGGCAGUGAGACUCCCAACAAAAAAACCGUAUCCCCAGAGGCGGGCACGGAAUCAACAGGACGAUGAAGAUGGUGUUCCUGUCACCGCUAUGGCCAGGCUGUAUUUGGGGUCUCGGGGCUGCCGCUCACGACGGCCAAAUUUAAACCCUCUCCCUACAUAGGGACAAAUAAAAAUAUUGACCCAAGAGGGGCAAUGGCUUGUCCUUCAAGCAGGGAAGCCUUUAAACCCUAAAAAUUUGUUUUUAGCUUUAUGUGCCUUGCUCACCGUUGCAUUGGGGACUGAGGUACCCCAACAUUCUCAUUGGGCUUAUAUUCCAAAUCCCCCUUUACUGGAACCUGUAGUGUGGGGAACUAUUGAUAUAUCACUAUAUAUAACACCAAGAAAAAAAUUUUGUCAGCACCGUGGGUGGAUUUAACCCCCCAUAAUCAGGAUGAUAGAACAUUGUUCAAUUUUACUUAUUAUGGUAAUCAACGGCCCAUUUGUAUUGGAGAACCACCUUGCAUCCCUCUGGGAUGGCAGUAUUGGAUUCAACAUGGAAUAAAAGCAGGCGAUGAGAGGACAAGGCUUCAAGCUUUGGCUGCUCAAACUUUUAAUGUUACCUGGAAAAAUUUAACAGCCCCUGAUAAAAACACAUAUCCUGUAUGCCCUGAUUUCACUUAUAACAAUAUUUCUUAUAAUCCCAUAAUUUGACAACAAUGUAUGGGGAAGUUUGCUAAAAAUAUUGAUGGAUAUAUUAUUUGGGGACCAUUUGGAAAAUUUGUUAAUGUAUGUGCUAAAUGAAAUGAGACAAGAUGUAAUCUCUCUGUCAUAUAUAGUCUUCCAGAUCCAAAGAACAUAACUAAUGGAGCUCCCGUCUUCCCUCAAAAGACACAUCUCCUGUGGUGGGGAGAUGGUAAAAUCGCCAAUCCUGCUGUUGCCACCGAAGAGUACCCUCAUAAUCUCCAAAAUCACAUUUGGAAGAUUCCAGCCGCUAUGCAACCUGUAACCUUGUACAAUGUUUCCUAUUCAGGAACUAGUGGAUCUGUAUCUACUAAUUAUAAUUUUAUUAAGUUUAUGAUAUACAAUAUUACUGUUUGUGCACCUCUGCCUUAUGUCUUUUUAGUGGGAACUUUUAAUUUUACACAUUUUUCUUGUACUUGUUUAAACUGUCAAUUGUUUACCUGUUUAAAUAGCACAUUAAAUUUCACUAAACCUUAUACAGUUAUGCUUUUACAACAAAAAACUCAUAUUUGGUUACCUAUAAAUCUGACUCGACCAUGGUCUCAAGACUCAGUAAUCUCUGUUACUACUAAAUUUUUUCAACAUCUGUUAAAACGUACAAAACAAUUUAUUGGAAUAGUGGUCGCUGUAUUGUUGAGCCUGAUAAUUGUGGCAUCUUUAGCGGCAGUAUCAGGAAUAGCUUUACAAACCUCUUUACAAAAAAAACAUGUGGUGGAACAAUGGCAUGAGAAUUCUCAUGAACUUUGUUUAACCCAAUGGCAAAUAAAUUCUAAACUGCAACAGCAAAUAGACCUUCUUAAACAAACAGUUGAAUAGAUGGGAAAAAAAUAUUGGCUCUUCAACAUCAAGUGUUUCUAAAAUGUGAUUGAAAUUCAACUACCUUUUGUAUAACACAGCGACCAUAUAAUCAGACAAAACAUAAAUGGGAAACAAUUAAAAUGUAUCUAAAUGGGAAUAUCUCUGCCCAGGAGGAAAUAGAGUCUUUGCAUAAUCAAAUUGACAAAGAUUUUGCAAAGCAUAAUGAUGAUAAAUCCCUGGCUCAAUUUGCUCAAUUGCUUGCUCAGUCUUUAGAAGGACUGGAUCCAAAAGAAAUUUGGCAAAACAUAACUCAUACUUUAAGUGACAUGGGACUUAGCCUAAUCUUAACUCUUAUCACUAUAGUCCUUGUGUAUUGUUGUUACAUAAGACGAAAUGCCACAAAUAAUUUGACCUUAUAAAAUUUUUUUUAAAUACAAAAAAAGGAAGAACUGUGGUAUCGCCUAAGGAGUCUGGCCCCCUCAUAGUCUGUGAUAACAUCAGGCCCGGCAUGGGAACAGAGACUGGGUAGGAAAGCCGACCCAAGAGAAGAAAAUGUUCUUCCCUCUUGUCUCAUGAUGCGCGACUAGGCUAUGUUUACAGAGCUAGAAGGAAGUGGCCGACCUUCAGGUGGCUAGAAAGAACAAUAAUUAAAAACAUUCUUGGGAUAAUGGUGUUCCUCCUGGGUUAUUGGGGCAAGAAUAACUGGUUAUGCUUGCUUGCUUAACUUAGAUAGUUUAGAUAACAUUGUAACUUGUCACAAAAUGUGCUAUUGCAAGAUAAUCGCCUGUGCACUGUGAGUUGAUCCGGUUCACUAUAUAAGAACCUAAAAAUAAAGUACAGCAUGCAGUAGCAAUUGCUGUUUUCUCUGCUCUGCA